GACGAACGCUGGCGGCGUGCCUAACACAUGCAAGUCGAACGGAAAGGCCCUGCUUUUGUGGGGUGCUCGAGUGGCGAACGGGUGAGUAACACGUGAGUAACCUGCCCUUGACUUUGGGAUAACUUCAGGAAACUGGGGCUAAUACCGGAUAGGAGCUCCUGCUGCAUGGUGGGGGUUGGAAAGUUUCGGCGUUUGGGGAUGGACUCGCGGCUUAUCAGCUUGCUGGUGGGGUAGUGGCUUACCAAGGCUUUGACGGGUAGCCGGCCUGAGAGGGUGACCGGCCACACUGGGACUGAGAUACGGCCGAGACUCCGAAGGGAGGAAGCAGUGGGGAAGAUUGCACAAUGGGCGGAAGCCUGAUGCAGCAGCGCCGCGUGCGGGAUGACGGUCUUCGGGUUGUAAACCGGUAUCGCCUGUAACGAAGCGUGAGUGACGGUAAUGGGUAGAGAAGGCACGGCUAAAUACGUG
RNAcentral lists this ribosomal RNA (468 nucleotides) under uncultured bacterium. Its description in RNAcentral is "partial 16S ribosomal RNA". It matches the Rfam family "Bacterial small subunit ribosomal RNA", at positions 28 to 507 of the family's 1533-position model. The record is from RNAcentral.